GCGCAUGCAGGCGGCCUGUUAAGUCAGAUGUGAAAGCCCGGGGCGUUAACCUCGGAAUUGCAUUUGAAACUGGCAGGCUAGAGUCUUGUAGAGGGGGGUAGGAAUUUCAGGUGUAGCGGUGAAAUGCGUAGAGAUCUGAAGGAAUACCAGUGGCGAAGGCGGCCCCCUCGGACAAAGACUGACGCUCAGAUGCGAAAGCGUGGGGAGCAAACAGGAUUAGAUACCCUGGUAG
RNAcentral lists this ribosomal RNA (232 nucleotides) under uncultured bacterium. RNAcentral describes it as "partial 16S ribosomal RNA". It matches the Rfam family "Bacterial small subunit ribosomal RNA", at positions 565 to 793 of the family's 1533-position model. The record is from RNAcentral.